This 305-nucleotide ribosomal RNA is filed under the name uncultured bacterium. RNAcentral's name for it is "bacterial SSU rRNA". It matches the Rfam family "Bacterial small subunit ribosomal RNA", at positions 333 to 654 of the family's 1533-position model. The record is from RNAcentral.
CUAUCCCUACGGGGGGCAGCAGUGGGGAAUAUUGGGCAAUGGGCGCAAGCCUGACCCAGCAACGCCGCGUGAAGGAAGAAGGCUUUCGGGUUGUAAACUUCUUUUAAGGGGGAAGAGCAGAAGACGGUACCCCUUGAAUAAGCCACGGCUAACUACGUGCCAGCAGCCGCGGUAAUACGUAGGUGGCGAGCGUUAUCCGGAAUGAUUGGGCGUAAAGGGUGCGUAGGCGGCCUGCUAAGUCUGGAGUGAAAGGUACCGGCUCAACCGGUACAGGCUCUGGAAACUGGCGGGCUAGAGAGCAGGAC